AUUCCAGCUCCAAUAGCGUAUACUAAAGUUGUUGCAGUUAAAAAGCUCGUAGUUGGAUUUCUAAUCUCUCUUGGGGUUCCUUUUCUAAAGAAAUGUGCGACCAUUCGAGAGAGAUUAUCCUCGUGCCUAGCCUUUCUCACUUUCAUUAGUCAGGAAGGGGACGCACGUCAUUUACUGUGAGCAAAAUAGAGUGUUCAAAGCAGGCUUAGGCCAUGAAUAUAUUAGCAUGGAAUAAUAAGAUAGGACCUUGGUCUAUUUUGUUGGUUUACAUUCCAAGGUAAUGAUUAAUAGGGAUAGUUGGGGGUAUUCGUAUUCAAUUGUCAGAGGUGAAAUUCUUGGAUUUAUGGAAGACGAACUACUGCGAAAGCAUUUACCAAGGAUGUUUUCAUCG
RNAcentral lists this ribosomal RNA (391 nucleotides) under Chrysophyceae sp. Its description in RNAcentral is "partial small subunit ribosomal RNA". It matches the Rfam family "Eukaryotic small subunit ribosomal RNA", at positions 582 to 975 of the family's 1831-position model. The record is from RNAcentral. Lineage: Eukaryota; Chrysophyceae.